This 585-nucleotide ribosomal RNA is filed under the name Exophiala dermatitidis. RNAcentral describes it as "partial large subunit ribosomal RNA". It matches the Rfam family "Eukaryotic large subunit ribosomal RNA", at positions 72 to 664 of the family's 3401-position model. The record is from RNAcentral. Lineage: Eukaryota; Fungi; Ascomycota; Eurotiomycetes; Chaetothyriales; Herpotrichiellaceae.
GGAUUGCCUCAGUAACGGCGAGUGAAGCGGCAACAGCUCAAAUUUGAAAUCUGGCCUCUUUGGGGUCCGAGUUGUAAUUUGUAGAGGAUGUUUCGGGCACCGCUCCGGUUUAAAUUUCUUGGAACAGAAUGUCAAAGAGGGUGAGAACCCCGUCUUGGACCGGCAGUAGGGCCCAUGUGAAACUCCUUCGACGAGUCGAGUUGUUUGGGAAUGCAGCUCAAAUGGGUGGUAAAUUUCAUCUAAAGCUAAAUAUUGGCCAGAGACCGAUAGCGCACAAGUAGAGUGAUCGAAAGAUGAAAAGCACUUUGAAAAGAGAGUUAAACAGUACGUGAAAUUGUUGAAAGGGAAGCGCUUGCAACCAGACUUGCGCGCGGCGGUUCCCCCUUCCUUCUGGUUGGGUUAUUCCGCCGUGUCCAGGCCAACAUCGGUUCUGGGGGUCGGUUAAAGGCCUGGGGAAUGUAUCUACCCUUCGGGCGUAGACUUAUAGCCCCGGGUGUCAUGCGACCUCCCGGGACCGAGGAACGCGCUUCGGCUCGGAUGUUGGCGUAAUGGUUGUCAGCGACCCGUCUUGAAACACGCCACCCA